GACGAACGCUGGCGGCGUGCUUAACACAUGCAAGUCGAGCGGAGCGGCGAACGGGUGAGUAACGCGUGAGUAACUGCCCCCCUAUCUGGGAUAACAGUUGGAAAUGGCUGCUAAUACCGGAUAGUGGGGGAUGACUCGCGUCCUAUAAGCUUGUUGGUGGGGUAUUGGCCUACCAAGGCGACGACGGGUAGCCGGCCUGGGAGGGCGACCGGCCACAAUGGUCUGGGAGAUGGCGCAAACGCCAACGGGAGGCAGCAGUGGGGAAUAUUGCACAAUGGUGGAAACCCUGAGGCAGCAACGCCGCGUGCGGGAUGACGUCCUUCGGGUUGUAAACCGCUUUCAGCCAUGACGCGGUAGUGGCAGAAGAAGCACCGGCUAACUACGUGCCAGCAGCCGCGGUAAUUC
This 405-nucleotide ribosomal RNA is filed under the name uncultured bacterium. Its description in RNAcentral is "partial 16S ribosomal RNA". It matches the Rfam family "Bacterial small subunit ribosomal RNA", at positions 28 to 526 of the family's 1533-position model. The record is from RNAcentral.